CGACAAGCGGUGGAGUAUGUGGUUUAAUUCGAUGCAACGCGAAGAACCUUACCUGGUCUUGACAUCCCGGAGACCCUUAGGAAACUAGGGGGUGCUUCCAUCUGGAAGAAUCUGGAGACAGGUGCUGCAUGGCUGUCGUCAGCUCGUGUCGUGAGAUGUUGGGUUAAGUCCCGCAACGAGCGCAACCCUUGCCUUUAGUUGCCAGCAGUUCGGCUGGGCACUCUAAAGGGACUGCCGGUGUUAAACCGGAGGAAGGUGGGGAUGACGUCAAGUCCUCAUGGCCUUUAUGACCAGGGCUACACACGUACUACAAUGGCCGAUACAAAGGGCAGCGACACUGCGAGGUGAAGCCAAUCCCGUAAAAUCGGUCUCAGUCCGGAUUGGAGUCUGCAACUCGACUCCAUGAAGUUGGAAUCGCUAGUAAUCGUGGAUCAGCAUGCCACGGUGAAUACGUUCCCGGGCCUU
RNAcentral lists this ribosomal RNA (465 nucleotides) under uncultured Desulfobulbus sp. Its description in RNAcentral is "bacterial SSU rRNA". It matches the Rfam family "Bacterial small subunit ribosomal RNA", at positions 922 to 1382 of the family's 1533-position model. Lineage: Bacteria; Pseudomonadati; Thermodesulfobacteriota; Desulfobulbia; Desulfobulbales; Desulfobulbaceae. The record is from RNAcentral.